CGCCUUUGUCCAGUGGCUGUGUGCGAGGCUGGGGUGGAGGAGUCGGCGUGGCUCGCCACGGGCAGGCCGGACCGGUUUCGGGUGGCACUCACAGGCGAGACGAGGAUCGCUCCCCGCUGCAGAACCUCGCACCCACAUCCCGGGUGAGACGCUCCCUCGCCCUCACUCACAGGCCGUGGGCCCAUGUCUACCUCCGCCAGGGGCUGACUCGCCAGCUCGUCCUAUGACCGCCGUCCUCCCUGUGAUCCACCACUACGGCAUGGGAAGGUGGCUGCUUUGGGAAGGCAAGCCACCCAGACUCAAGAAUCUGAGCGUCAGCCGUGAGGACGGGAGAAGCCCACGAGCGUUGUGCUCUCUGCUGAACGGCGCGGCCUAAGGAAGCUCCAGACGCAAGUCCCAUUUCACCUCCUCCACCAAAAGCCACCACCACCCCUCGGCGACACCGCAAGCACCCGCGGCCAGGGACCACCGCCUCCACCCGCGGCCAGGGACCACCGCCUCCACCCGCGGCCAGGGACCACCGCCUCCACCCGCGGCCA
Non-coding RNA from Petromyzon marinus (sea lamprey), 539 nucleotides. NCBI's taxonomy places the organism in Eukaryota, Metazoa, Chordata, Hyperoartia, Petromyzontiformes, Petromyzontidae. The record is from RefSeq and is a predicted model, not a curated record.